UAACGGUAUAACAACUUUCUAUUUGGAAAAAUGUCACCAUUUCACUAAUUGUGAAAAGAAAGAUAUCACAAAAAUGGGAAGAAUCAUCUUGCGAACGUUGAUGACCAGGAUGUUAAUCUACAUCUUCUUUGUGCAAAUAUUGAACAACAACGCUUUAUGCAAAGUCACAACAAAUGUGACGAGUGAAAGGUGUGUCCAUCCUUGGAAAUCAGAUUCAUGGGCAACAAACAAUUCAACUCAACAGUUAACACAUCAUCUUCUGAAGUUAGAAAACUUAAUACGGGGUGUUUUAUCCUCGAAAACAAAUACA
Long non-coding RNA from Saccostrea cuccullata (small rock oyster), 310 nucleotides. RefSeq lists it as uncharacterized. The transcript has 3 exons. NCBI's taxonomy places the organism in Eukaryota, Metazoa, Mollusca, Bivalvia, Ostreida, Ostreidae. The record is from RefSeq and is a predicted model, not a curated record.